CCCAGACCUCAUUUAAGGGUUGGCAGGGGUGAGGUAAGGAUAUCUCUCAGGAGAUUCCUACCUACUGGAGGUCUUUCAAAGGCUCUCUGAGAUUCCUUUCCAGCCAUACUGUUUGAAAUGAUACUCCUGUUUCUGAAUGUAAAACAGAAUCCAGCAUGAAAAAGGCAAUAAUACAGACGGGUUUUGUUGCCAACAGAAUCUGCACAAGUGUCGGGGCUGGCUGAUUGCUUGGGCAGAGCGCUUUGGAGAGCAGCAGGAGUGUGCUUAGAGAGCAGUGAUGGCUCAUGGACAAGUGGCUGAGACCACCUCUUAAAAUCCAUGUCCUUGACAGCUGAGACUCUCUACUGGCUUAAUGACACACUGGAACUGCAUCUCGAGGAAGAGGCACACUGGCCAGUUUCCCCUCCCCCAUGUCCAACACAUGCUUGCUUUGAAGAUACCAGCUUUCUUUAUUCAUAUUCUUACAGGAGUAAUUAAGAAUUACCGUUACUCAGACCGUUUGACUGAAAUGAUUCAAUAAAUGUCACUAAAAGAAGAUAAUACUACUUACCUUGACAGCUCUAGGCACUGCCACCUUACAAACAUUCCUACCAAAACUGAGCCAUGUUGCUGGUCGUGAUGGGCUUGUUGGAUACCUCACAUCCAGGCCAGUGGGCAAGGAGUGCCAAUGUCCUGGUUCCCACUGUCAUGACAACAACCUGAUGCUAUGAUGCAUCUUUCUUUAUUGACAGCAUAAUAUACAUGUGAAAGAAGGGCAGAGUGGAACAGCACCUUCUGUCUGUGCACCUUCCAGGCAGUCCCAUGGCACUCAGUUACCCAAUUGGUAUUUGCCCAAUAAAAGUGGCCCUGAUGCCCACAUCACUAAGCUCUCAGUGAAGGUGUCAAAGGGAGGCUGUGUGUGACCAGUAGCAGCCACAAUAAAAAUAAAUCAAGCAACCAAAACCAUGUACACAAAGGAACCCAUCUGGUUGCGCAUAGCCAGCUGCCUCAUGGCAUUGAAUGCCACUUGGGCUCAUCUAUCCCUGGAGAGGCUGCUGCUUAAUCAGAGCAUCUCAAAGGGAGACCUCACGUCUGUCCCUCCCUCCCUGUUCUCCUCCUUCCCAUUUUGUCUGAACAUGAGUAAAUGGUCAGAUGCUAUUCUCAGUUCUAAAUACCAGUAAAAGCUCCAUGAAAGCCUGUUUGCCCACCGUCCCUUCCCCCUCCCAAACCCUUUUGUCUUCAAAGCCCUUGCAUCGCUCUGCUCCCAUGUGUGCCAAGAGCAGCCAGCCCUCUGCUUCUGGCCCAUGGGACUGAAGGCAGGGGUGGGUGUGGAGUAGCGUGUGCAUGUCAGAGCAUGA
This is a long non-coding RNA of Gallus gallus (chicken), 1337 nucleotides long. Lineage: Eukaryota; Metazoa; Chordata; Aves; Galliformes; Phasianidae. The record is from Ensembl.